RNAcentral lists this long non-coding RNA (1000 nucleotides) under Oreochromis niloticus (Nile tilapia). Its description in RNAcentral is "lncRNA (ENSONIG00000041924.1)". The record is from RNAcentral. Lineage: Eukaryota; Metazoa; Chordata; Actinopteri; Cichliformes; Cichlidae.
CACAACAAUGAUAGUGACAUUUUCUGAAAGCCAGCAAAAAUACCUACGUUUUGAUGUAUAAUUUGUGGGGACUGAGUGUAAAUUGAGCGAGUAGCAAGAAGUUGUUCAGACAUGAAGAGAAAAUUCAGAACAGACCAGCCCUCACUCUGAGUUAAUUGCAUAGCAACCAUAACAACGCAUGUAUUUUCUGAAAAAUCACAAUUUUGCAACUGAAAACUUAAAGAGGUAUAAAAUUAAAACGGUAGAAGAUCUGAAAAAGCUGAAUCACUCAGGAAUAGCAACCAUAACAACGCAUGUAUUUUCUGAAAAAUCACAAUUUUGCAACUGAAAACUUAAAGAGGUAUAAAAUUAAAACGGUAGAAGAUCUGAAAAAGCUGAAUCAGACAGGAAUAGCCCAAUAAUUUGAGAACAUUUUAAAGUUUGAAUGGAGUUUCUAGGUGAAAGUAUGACAAAGUAGUUAAGUUUCAAAAACAAGCAAGUUUUAGCAGAAUUUCUGAAGAUUUCCAUUCAUUUCAAUGGGACAAAUUAAAGGAAAAAAGUGUAAUAUUUUAAAAAGUAUAACAGUAAUAAACACCAAAAGUCAUAGCAAUAAUUAGCAGAAAGAGCAGAACAGUAUAGAGUUUGAACUGAGAAAAUCGGCUGAAAACUGAGGAAGUAGUUAAACGACAAAAAACGUACGGAAGCAACCAGAAUAAAGUAUAAUAAAGAAUAAAGAGAAACAGGAACUCAAUAGUGUGGAAGCCCUUUUAGGGCAUCCACACAAUAAAGAGAAACAGGAACUCAAUAGUGUGGAAGCCCUUUUAGGGCAUCCACACAAUAAAGAGAAACAGGAAAACAAUUGUGUGGAAGCCCUUUAGGGCAUCCACACAAUAAAGAGAAACAGGAACUCAAUAGUGUGGAAGCCCUAUUAGGGCAUCCACACAAUAAAGAGAAACAGGAACUCAAUAGUGUGGAAGCCCUUUAGGGCAUCCACACAAUAAAGAAUAAAGAGAAACAGGAA